GGGUCCUGGGCAGCCUGGUGGCUACAUCUGGCCCAGUGAUCUUCAAGGGCCACUGUGAUUUGGCUGGCAAAGGGGUGUCGUCUUUCUCCCUCCAUGUGUGCCCCUCCUGAAGCUGCACGUGCUACAGAGUAGCGCUGCAUAGACACGGACCAUUUCUCAUUCAAGAUACGGACCAUAGAGAGAAGAAUCACUCUUCAGUCAAGGAUACAUGGGUAUCCACGCUCCCAAAAGAACCUCCAAACAACCUCUCAGAGUAAAAAUAUGAACAAAUCCCUCCACAAGACACGAACCAAAACAACCUGCCUCUCAGU
This 311-nucleotide small nuclear RNA is filed under the name Rattus norvegicus (Norway rat). Its description in RNAcentral is "7SK RNA". It matches the Rfam family "7SK RNA". From Rfam's summary of the family: 7SK was discovered as an abundant small nuclear RNA in the mid-70s but a possible function has only recently been suggested. Two independent studies have found that 7SK RNA binds the CDK9/cyclin T complex (known as elongation factor P-TEFb). Lineage: Eukaryota; Metazoa; Chordata; Mammalia; Rodentia; Muridae. The record is from Rfam by way of RNAcentral.